AUCCGUGCCAGCAGCCGCGGUAAUACGGAGGGGGUUAGCGUUGUUCGGAAUUACUGGGCGUAAAGCGCGCGUAGGCGGAUCAGAAAGUUGGGGGUGAAAUCCCGGGGCUCAACCCCGGAACUGCCUCCAAAACUCCUGGUCUUGAGUUCGAGAGAGGUGAGUGGAAUUGCGAGUGUAGAGGUGAAAUUCGUAGAUAUUCGGAGGAACACCAGUGGCGAAGGCGGCUCACUGGCUCGAUACUGACGCUGAGGUGCGAAAGUGUGGGGAGCAAACAGGAUUAGAUACCCUGGUAGUCCACACCGUAAACGAUGAAUGCCAGUCGUCGGGUAGCAUGCUAUUCGGUGACACACCUAACGGAUUAAGCAUUCCGCCUGGGGAGUACGGUCGCAAGAUUAAAACUCAAAGGAAUUGACGGA
Molecule: ribosomal RNA, 416 nt
Filed under: Marinovum algicola
Lineage: Bacteria; Pseudomonadati; Pseudomonadota; Alphaproteobacteria; Rhodobacterales; Roseobacteraceae
Description: bacterial SSU rRNA
Rfam family: Bacterial small subunit ribosomal RNA
Source: RNAcentral